RNAcentral lists this ribosomal RNA (607 nucleotides) under uncultured bacterium. RNAcentral's name for it is "bacterial SSU rRNA". The stretch from base 1 to 517 matches the Rfam family "Bacterial small subunit ribosomal RNA", at positions 338 to 873 of the family's 1533-position model. The record is from RNAcentral.
CCUACGGGAGGCAGCAGUGGGGAAUCUUGCGCAAUGGGCGAAAGCCUGACGCAGCCAUGCCGCGUGAAUGAUGAAGGUCUUAGGAUUGUAAAAUUCUUUCACCGGGGACGAUAAUGACGGUACCCGGAGAAGAAGCCCCGGCUAACUUCGUGCCAGCAGCCGCGGUAAUACGAAGGGGGCUAGCGUUGCUCGGAAUUACUGGGCGUAAAGGGAGCGUAGGCGGAUAGUUUAGUCAGAGGUGAAAGCCCAGGGCUCAACCUUGGAAUUGCCUUUGAUACUGGCUAUCUUGAGUGUGGGAGAGGUAUGUGGAACUCCGAGUGUAGAGGUGAAAUUCGUAGAUAUUCGGAAGAACACCAGUGGCGAAGGCGACAUACUGGCCCAUUACUGACGCUGAGGCUCGAAAGCGUGGGGAGCAAACAGGAUUAGAUACCCUGGUAGUCCACGCUGUAAACGAUGAGUGCUAGUUGUCGGCAGGCAUGCCUGUCGGUGACGCAGCUACGCAUAAGUACACUCCGCCGUCGGGAGGUACGGUCGCGAAGAAUUAAACGUAACAAUAGAAGUUAGUACGGCGUGAGACGUCGCCGACGGACGACGACGAGGGAGGAGG